Molecule: transfer RNA, 72 nt
Filed under: Bos taurus (domestic cattle)
Lineage: Eukaryota; Metazoa; Chordata; Mammalia; Artiodactyla; Bovidae
Also listed under: 1 other name
Rfam family: tRNA
About the family: Transfer RNA (tRNA) molecules are approximately 80 nucleotides in length. Their secondary structure includes four short double-helical elements and three loops (D, anti-codon, and T loops).
Source: Rfam by way of RNAcentral
UCCCUGUUAGCUCAGCUGGUAAAGAAUCUGCCUGCAGUGCAGGAGAUCUGGGUUCAAUCCCUGGUUUGGGAA